UACGUAGGGGGCAAGCGUUGUCCGGAAUCAUUGGGCGUAAAGCGCGCGUAGGCGGCCCUGUAAGUCCGCUGUAAAAGUCAAAGGCUCAACCUUUGAAAGCCGGUGGAUACUGCAGGGCUAGAGUCCGGAAGAGGCGAGUGGAAUUCCUGGUGUAGCGGUGGAAUGCGUAGAGAUGCGGAGGAACACCGAUGGCGAAGGCAGCCCCCUGGGCCGACACUGACGCUCAGGCACGAAAGCGUGGGGAGCAAACAGG
This 253-nucleotide ribosomal RNA is filed under the name uncultured bacterium. RNAcentral describes it as "partial 16S ribosomal RNA". It matches the Rfam family "Bacterial small subunit ribosomal RNA", at positions 524 to 776 of the family's 1533-position model. The record is from RNAcentral.